This is an RNA transcript of Betta splendens (Siamese fighting fish), 1728 nucleotides long. It is a transcript of the gene named serine and arginine rich splicing factor 5a, with no coding region annotated. Lineage: Eukaryota; Metazoa; Chordata; Actinopteri; Anabantiformes; Osphronemidae. The record is from RefSeq and is a predicted model, not a curated record. The transcript is spliced from 7 exons.
CAACUGGCAACGCGAGAGUGGCAACACUUCCUGUUCCUUGAUCUUUGGGCGCACUCGCCAUUUUGUCACAGUCGAGUAGGCGACCUACUUAAAGUCGGUGCCAGCUAGCGAGUAAACAGCAUCAUCAUCUGAGACGCUUUGAUAAGACGCUUAAGAUACAAACAUGAGUGGAUGUCGUGUCUUCAUUGGCCGCUUGAGCCCACAUGCCAGAGAAAGAGAUGUUGAGAAGUUUUUCAAGGGAUAUGGACGGAUCAGGGAAAUCAACUUAAAGAAUGGCUUUGGCUUCGUGGAAUUUGAUGACCACAGAGAUGCAGAUGAUGCUGUGUAUGAGUUGAAUGGCAAGGAAUUGUGCAGUGAAAGGGUAACUAUUGAACAUGCUCGCUCAAGAAGAGGAAGGGGUGGUGGUCCUGGAAUGGGCCGUUUCAGCAGCAGUAGCAGCAGCUACCGCCCGUCUCGCAGCAGUGGAUCACGAUAUGGCCCUCCUGUGCGUACUGAGCACAGACUCAUUGUAGAGAAUCUUUCUUCACGCAUUAGCUGGCAGCACCUACAGUGAUAUGGUUUGCUUUAAGUCAGAGGUGAAUGCACACACUCCAUGGAGAUGUCAAGUGUGUAGCGCCCUCUCCUGGUUGUUGUGUCUGAAUAGUGUCCAUUUGGUGCCUCUCCUUACACGCAGUUGCCGCCGGUCUAAAGUCUUGGCUGGGCCCCGUAGCGGGUGAAAGUGGUCUAGCGCAGGAUACGGUAGCCUUAGGAGGGCCGUAGCCACAAUCUGGAGGUUCUGUGGGCUGGCGUCCCCGACUGCUGUAACCCCCCUCAAAUCCACGGUCCCUACACUCUCCCAUUUGGGUCUUUUUCUGUUGCUGAUGGAGCUGGGGGGGGGUGUUGAGUUGGGCGCACACCCCUCCUCCUACUUGCUCUCUGGUGGUUCCUUACUUGUGGAGGCCGGAUGCUGGGUCAAGGCCGAGGUCGUUUCUCAAGGGCUUAACACUGCAUUGGUUCCCAUUUGCUAUUUGGACAAGUGGCUCUUUGCUAAUGUCUUCAUGUGUUUGGAGCGGUAAGUAGCAUAAAACUCAUGUGAUUGGGUUUGUUCAGGGUAUAGGGGUGUAGAGUUACAAUCUCAAAUCAGAAGGGUGGGGGGGCAGUUAAAUUUGUAGACUUUUUGCUUAAAAAUUAAAAAAAAAAAAAAAAGUUAAGAUUAAUGAGGAAAGCAAAAACUAAAUUGAAAGGUCUUAUCAGAACUUGUCCACUUAGUGUAGUAUGUUAUUUAAGAUGUACAAUCUAAUUUAGGCUUUUAUCUACAGUCACUAGAUAAAAUGUCACUGGUGAUAAAUUUGUUUUUUACUAAUGAGCUUAAAAACUGAAAACAUUAAUUGGGUAGAAAUCGUUUUUGACACCUACCCAGGCUCUCAGAGCAUUUUCAGUGGCUCUUUUUGUGUAACUCCUCAAUUUGAAGUGGAGACUUAUCAGUGACUGAAGUCACCAUUAGAUAAUCAUGUUUCUGUGUUUGCUAGUUUCUAGCUGUUUGCUUACUUCUAUCCCUCCAGGUCAGAAAAGGCUCUCACUGAAACUUCGUGUUUUGUUCAGUCUUACUGAUUCUGCAUUAUGUCUUGAAACAGGACCUGAAAGACCUGAUGAGAAAAGCAGGUGAAGUUACCUUUGUGGAUGCUCACAGACCCAAUAAAAAUGAAGGGGUGGUUGAGUUUGCGUCCCGCAGUGAUAUGAAGAAUGCAA